GAUGAACGCUGGCGGCGUGCCUAAUACAUGCAAGUCGAGCGAGCAGACGAGGAGCUUUCUCCUCUGACGUUAGCGGCGGACGGGUGAGUAACACGUGGAUAACCUACCUAUAAGACUGGGAUAACUUCGGGAAACCGGAGCUUAUACCGGAUAAUAUGUUGAACAGCAUUGUUCAACAGUGAAAGACGGUUGUUCUGUCGCUUAUAGAUGGAUCCGCGUCGCAUCAGCUAGUUGGUAAGGUAACUGCUUAGCAAGGCAACGAUGCGUAGCCGACCUGAGAGGGUGAUCGGCCACACUGGAACUGAGGCACGGUCGACACUCCUACAGUGGGCAGCAGCAGGGACUCUUACGCGAUGGGCGAAAGCCUGACGGAGCAACGCCGCGUGAGUGAAGAAGGUCUUAGGAUCGUAAAACUCUGUUAGUAGGAAAGAAGAAAUGUGUAAGUAACUAUGAACGUCUUGACAGUACCUAAUGAGAAAGCCACGGCUAACUACGUG
Molecule: ribosomal RNA, 497 nt
Filed under: uncultured bacterium
Lineage: Bacteria
Description: partial 16S ribosomal RNA
Rfam family: Bacterial small subunit ribosomal RNA
Source: RNAcentral